RNAcentral lists this long non-coding RNA (2197 nucleotides) under Equus caballus (horse). Its description in RNAcentral is "lncRNA (ENSECAG00000058349.1)". Lineage: Eukaryota; Metazoa; Chordata; Mammalia; Perissodactyla; Equidae. The record is from RNAcentral.
GUGAGAACAUUUAAAUUGACCUGGAGGAAAUAGGGAAGGUCUUAUAGAGAAGAACAUAUUUCAGCUGGGUCUUGGAAUUUGCCACAGAAAGAAGAUAUGGGUAGAAAAAGGUCAAGGGUCACGUGAGUUGAGUUAAAUUGAGAAGCAUAUUGGGUUAAGAGAAAUUCCCAGGAGAAUAAGUUAAGAAAAUCUUAUAUCAGUGCCAGGAGAGGUCACAUUAAUAGGAACGAUGGACCCUAGAGUCAAAGAGAGGUGGGGUUGGGGAGGAUGCAAAGAUAAGGAUAAGACUCGUGACUUCUUAUCCUUAGUCAGAGUGUAGAGGACAGCAAGCCAGGUGGUCCUUGCAAGCUGUUUUGGCCGUCAGAGCCCAUCUCAUCUGUUCUUGAAGCGUCAGUGGUGAGAUAUUGGAUGUGACAUCUUACUGGAACAGUAGGAUGAAUUCUGAUUUCAUGUACCUUCGCCCAACUUUGAGCUCUCCGGUAGGUGGAAUCUUCUCUAGGGAUGGAAAAGUUGUGAAAAUUUGCAGUGUGUCAGGAAAUUUGGCAGUAGGAACUGGAAUCCUAUAUUUGAUAUAUGGUGUCAUCCUAUAUCCUAAUGUAUGAAAUUUGGUAUCAGGCUAUUUUGGAUAUAAGGGUCUAGCAUAGCUUGCGGUAUAAAUGUACUCUUCCUUUAAGCCAAGCUUCUUGGAGCAUUUUGAGCAAUAAACUUGAACUUGCCAGAUGCAUUGGGAUUUUUUAAAUAGACUUCCUUAACUGAAAAGUUACAUGGCAAUUGAAGUGGCAGAGCUGCUGAUGCCAGUGCCGAGGGGACAGUGAAUACCCUAGAAGCUGGAUGCUAUGAUUUUGACAUAUGGGUUUUAAGGAAUUGGAGGAAAGAAAGCUCAAUAUCUGAAAUUUUGACUCAGAGAGAGUUUGCAGGUGCCUAUGGCUCUGGAGAACCAAAUAUAACAGCUCCGGAAGAAGGAAUGGGGCUUGAAUGCCAGGCAUUAUGUUAGAAACUUUCUCAUCUGCCAGGCCAUUUGAUCUUCACCCAACAAGGCUAGAGGCAAGGACUUAGCAUCACCACAUUCAGUUGAGAAAAUGGGUGUUCACGAAAGAUUUGAUAACUUAUCCAGAAUCUCACAUAGCUAAAAGGUGGCAGAACCAGGAUUCAAACCCAGGCCUGCAGGAUGCCAAUAGCUUUCUCCUAGUCAACCCCUUGACUUCUUUCUGAAGAUCUCUUCUCUUUUCCCAUGAGCUCUGGUCUACCUAGAGGGCCCUGGGCAUCUCUUUUGAUGGCUUGGGAGCCAGAGAAGCAGCCUCCAGUAGUUUCACAAAAUACACCUGAAUCAGGUUGCAGUGAUUUAAUAAUGAAGCCAGAUUUAUGGAGUUAAGAAACAUUAAGUCCUUCCUUUCCUUUCCUGGGGUUGAGGGGCCUUCUUGCUGCCAACCAAAAACCACAGUGGUUUCUCAUUCUCUAAGGCUGCACUUGGAGGCUCAGGCUUCCAAGAUACAGGAAAUAUAGACGAGCACAUUUUCAAAGUUCUCACAACACGGAGAGAGCCGACUCAGCAGUCAUCCAGGGUCCAACUCACUCUGAAUGGGCAAUUUUCCCAGGCCCUGAAGCGACAUCUGGAAUUGGACAUAAAAGCUCAGGAGAGCACCAGCCGUGAAGAACUUGUCCACUUGCAAGGAGAGAAUGGUGGGAAGACUCAAGGACCAGCUCUGGCAAAAUGGGAAAAGUAUUUCCUUUCAUCAUCUCAAGAGCUUCCUUUUUAUUCUCUCUCUUUCUCUUCUAACAAAGCCAGUUCAUAAGAAUUGAUCUUAUAUUGUUUCAGUAAAUAUCAAACAACAAAUAAGUAUUUUACUGCUGGGAAAACAGAGAGAGUCUCCAUCCUCUGGGAACUUGGUUUAGUUGGGGGAUGCAGAAAAGCAAACGUGUAAUGUGCCAAUUUGAUUGAAAAACAGAAAUUAGUUUCCUACUGUCAAGUGCCUAGUACUAUGCCUGGUGCAUAGCAGAAACUCAGUAUUUGCUGAGUUACAAAUGAAUGAAUCCUGAGGUGGGAAAAUUUGCUUGUUUCUGGAGUGUGAACACCGACUUGUUUUUCCUGUAAACCUUUUCCUGACCUCCCCAUCUUUCUAGUCCUCUGGGUUCCCUGUACUUCAGCUCCUCUUUCUGUUGACAUGUUUGCCUUCUCUGUUAUACCAAAGGACUUUUU